GAUCCUGGCUCAGGACGAACGCUGGCGGCGUGCUUAACACAUGCAAGUCGAACGAUGAAGCCCAGCUUGCUGGGUGGAUUAGUGGCGAACGGGUGAGUAACACGUGGGUGAUCUNCCCUGCACUUCGGGAUAAGCCUGGGAAACUGGGUCUAAUACCGGAUAUGACCUCNGGAUGCAUGUCCUGGGGUGGAAAGUUUUUCGGUGCAGGAUGAGCCCGCGGCCUAUCAGCUUGUUGGUGGGGUAAUGGCCUACCAAGGCGACGACGGGUAGCCGGCCUGAGAGGGCGACCGNCCACAUCUGGGACUGAGACACGGCCCAGACUCCUACGGGAGGCAGCAUGUGGGGAAUAUUGCACAAUGGGCGCAAGCCUGAUGCACGCGAGCNCCGCGUGAGGGAUGACGGCCUUCGGGUUGUAAACCUCUUUCAGCAGGACGAAGCG
This 439-nucleotide ribosomal RNA is filed under the name Rhodococcus sp. RKBH-B102. Its description in RNAcentral is "bacterial SSU rRNA". It matches the Rfam family "Bacterial small subunit ribosomal RNA", at positions 15 to 452 of the family's 1533-position model. Lineage: Bacteria; Bacillati; Actinomycetota; Actinomycetes; Mycobacteriales; Nocardiaceae. The record is from RNAcentral.